This 678-nucleotide ribosomal RNA is filed under the name Scoliolegnia asterophora. RNAcentral's name for it is "LSU rRNA". It matches the Rfam family "Eukaryotic large subunit ribosomal RNA", at positions 51 to 630 of the family's 3401-position model. Lineage: Eukaryota; Oomycota; Saprolegniomycetes; Saprolegniales; Saprolegniaceae. The record is from RNAcentral.
CGGAGGAAAAGAAACUAACAAGGMNUCCCCUAGUAACGGCGAGUGAAGCGGGAAGAGCUCAAGCUUAAAAUCUCCAUGUUUUGCAUGGCGAAUUGUAGUCUAUUGAGGCUGUUGUCAGCAUAGCGAUCCGGGACAAGUCCCUUGGAAAAGGGCAGCAUAGAGGGUGAUACUCCCGUCUCUGCUCGGAUCUGCCGUGUGUACGAUACGCUUUCUUUGAGUCGAUUUGUUUGGGAAUACAGAUCAAAGUAGGUGGUAAAUUCCAUCUAAAGCUAAAUAUUGGUGCGAGACCGAUAGCGAACAAGUACCGUGAGGGAAAGAUGAAAAGAACUUUGAAAAGAGAGUUAAAGAGUACCUGAAACUGGUCAGAGGGAACCGUAUCGCUUCCAGUGUUGUAUCCUGUGCAUAUUUCAUUAGCGGAGUAAUUUGCUGGUGCCCUGUGCACGGGUGUGACGUCAGAGUCAGUUUGUAUGCUGCGGGAGAUGGUCAGUGAGGAGGUGCGUCACUUCGGUGAAAGUUAUACCUUGCUGUCUAGUAGCCGUGGUUGAGACUGAGGUGCCUACAACAUGCCUUGAGGUUUAGUGCUGUCUUGUUUUGGUGACUGUUUGGAUAGCUUGCUAUGUCUGCGGUUAAUCAGAGCAAUUGAUGGUGCUAAUAACUUCUGCUGUUCGGGACUCUGGC